This 429-nucleotide ribosomal RNA is filed under the name Chloroflexota bacterium. RNAcentral describes it as "Chloroflexi bacterium partial 16S ribosomal RNA". It matches the Rfam family "Bacterial small subunit ribosomal RNA", at positions 355 to 776 of the family's 1533-position model. Lineage: Bacteria; Bacillati; Chloroflexota. The record is from RNAcentral.
UGGGGAGUAUUGCACAAUGGGCGCAAGCCUGAUGCAGCCAUGCCGCGUGUAUGAAGAAGGCCUUCGGGUUGUAAAGUACUUUCAGUCGGGAGGAAGGUGUCAAGGUUAAUAACCUUGGCAAUUGACGUUACCGACAGAAGAAGCACCGGCUAACUCCGUGCCAGCAGCCGCGGUAAUACGGAGGGUGCAAGCGUUAAUCGGAAUUACUGGGCGUAAAGCGCACGCAGGCGGUUGAUUGAGUCAGAUGUGAAAUCCCCGGGCUUAACCCGGGAAUUGCAUCUCAUACUGGUCAGCUAGAGUCUUGUAGAGGGGGGUAGAAUUCCAUGUGUAGCGGUGAAAUGCGUAGAGAUGUGGAGGAAUACCGGUGGCGAAGGCGGCCCCCUGGACAAAGACUGACGCUCAGGUGCGAAAGCGUGGGGAGCAAACAGG